AUCGUGCACUGACUGAAGCCCAUCUCUGAGAGUUAAGACUCUACAGCCACAAGCUUUAUAUUACCAUUCAAUUCAUCAAAAGAUGUUCCCGAUGUGCGGUUGUUGUUUAUUGUGCCACGAUCAGUAGAUCCCAACAUGGUAGUCAGCGUGUGCACGGUAAGAAACCGCAGCUGCUCCCUAUCGUCGCGUAUACAAUGAUGGGGGAGGAAUUGGGCUUUGAUUUGCACUUAUUUUUCCUUUCUCAUCUUUCUUCCACUCUGCUGCCUGUUUUCCUACAAGUGGAAACUUAGAAGAGAACUUAUAAAGGGAAGGCGGAGAGCAAAGAGCAAAGAAUAGCAGACAGGCAGACAGAGCAAGAGAGUUGGGGGAAUUUAUUACGCUGAGUGAACAUUUAUCGGACAGAGUGUAUGUUGCUCUGUCAGUCACCAGCGACAAUACGCAAGCAGAUGUUGGAGACCCAUGAAUUAUGCUUCUUGCACUCGUUAGAUAGUCAUUUUAGUUGUUUGGAAUUGUCGGACUGUAUUUUAUGAUGGUGAUCUAUUCUUUCUGCAAUGUCUGGGCCACCCAAGUUCAUGUCAUUGAUCCAGGUUUAUGCAACUCAAUUCCUUCCCCAGGUCUUCUCCGUAUUGGAAGACUCUUUUUAUCUGGAAGACUGGAAACUUGCUAAAUCUUAUUGUUGGAAGGAAUCAAAGGAUCAAGAGGACCUAGAAGUUUCUUUCUUCAUAAUUCAACCAUUUCUCUAGGUUUGCCAUGGAAUCCAGAACACGAACCAGAUUUAAUCUUCCACAUUGAUAGGAUUCCCCCAAUAUAGAGGAUGCAUGAAAAUCAGCAUAAUCCUUUUAGUUAUGGUGCUGAUAUGGAUUGGUGUUUCUAAUUCAUUUAUUCCAGGGAAAGUUAAUUUUGUAGGAAAGCAAUCAUAUUUCACUGUAGUUCUGGACUGUGGAAGCACUGGUACUAGAGUAAAUGCCUAUGAGUGGUUAAAUAACAUCACAAGCAAUCAAGACCUGCCAACCUUGCUGCAUUCGCUUCCAGACCAUUCAACAAAGAAUCCUCUCCAAAGGAAUGCUUGUCGUGAUCACUGCAUGCAAGCUGAGCCUGCCCUGGAUAGCUUUCUGCAUAAUUCUUCUGGAAUAAGGGCAGCAUUGGAGACAUUGCUUCUUUGGGCACAGCAACAAAUACCCUCUGAGAAACUAGGAGAUACUCCACUCUUCCUUCUAGCUACUGCUGGAUUACGAAGGUUGCCAAAUGAGGAUGCUGAUUGGAUUUUGGAAAAUGCAGAGACUAUUAUAAAGGAAUAUCCUUUUUUAUAUACAAGAAGUUCAAUAAGGGUGUUAAAUGGAAAAGAAGAGGCUUAUUAUGGUUGGGUUGCCCUUAAUUACAAGAUGGGGAGCCUGGAAAACUCCAUGAAAGUUCCUACUUUAGGAGUUCUUGAUUUGGGGGGUUCAUCUUUGCAGGUGGUUAUGGAAAUAGAUGAAUCUAGAGAAGAUACACAUUUUUUCAUGUCAAAACUUGGCUCCAUUUAACACCAAGUUUUAGCAUACUCGCUGCCAUCGUUUGGCCUAAAUGAGGCAUUUGAUAGGUCCAUUGUUAUUCUAACUGGGGAGCAAUUUCCUAUGGAGAGUAUUGAUGGCAGAUUCAAACUUAGACAUCCAUGCCUCAGCUCAGGAUUCAUGCGAAACUACACUUGCUAUGGUUGCUUCCAGCUGAAUGCUACCAGUUGGCAGUUUUUGAGUGGUCAAUCACUGAGUAAUCAAUCUACUUCAUUUUAUUUGAUUGGGGAUCUGGAUUGGGAGCAGUGCAAAGGACUUGCAAAGGCUGCUGCCAUUGAUUUAACCAGCUCAGAUCAGUUGCAGUUAACAAUGGAUAUGAGAUGCAAACAACACUUACUUUCCUCUAAUGAGAAAACAGACAAGACUAAAAGGAAAAGGUAGACUGAUAAAACCCUUGCUUCUCAAACAAAUUCUCAAGUGACUGGAGCUGAUUCGAGGGAGCUCACCCUCCUGAAAUGGACUGAAAAGAGGGAGAAGAAGAAGAAGAAAAGUAGGGUUUUUCUCUUGCCUCAAAAUGAUUAUUACAAGAUAUUUAUAACCUCAUGUAGAGGUUAGAUAAUGAUGGCUAACUGUUUCUUGUUCAAUUCUCCUUACAUGGACGACGAACGUAAACAAACCUUGAGGGUGACGUCAAGCAACUAAUUUGAGGGAAGUUAUGGGUCUGGUGAUGGGCCUAGGCCUUCAGUGCUGGGCUGGUUGCCUUCAAGGUCAACGUUAGGAAAUUGCUACUGUAGUUGAUCAAAGUCCUCCCAUCUGGCAUCUUCGGGGGGGUUCUCAAAUUAAUUCCCCUUCAUAACUGGGGCAGCCAAGCCAAGCAUGGAUUCGAGAAACUGACGUGGAAUAUUGGAUGCAACUUAGACUCGACAGGAAGGUCCAAGUGGUAAGCUAUUGACUCAACGUGCUGUCACUUGAAAAGGCCCAAAGUAUUGUGGGCCCAAUUUCUGCGAUGGCUGAUUGGCCAUUGAUGUUUGCCUAUACGACUGAAGCUUCAAAUGGACCCAAUCACCCCUUGCAAACUCCAACUCUCGGUGCUUCUUUAUCAUAAGCCAACUUCGUACGCUGCUAGGCCUGGUGGAGGUGAAACUUGAGAUCUUUCAAUAUGUUGUCACUAGUUGUCAAAUGAUAUUCAACCACUGCCAUUGCGGAAGUGCCUGGUUCAUAAGGGAGGAUGGUGGGCGUAGGUACAUAGUGGUUGUUAAGACCAUCAAGGUAUAGAGGGUGUCAAAUCAAUGCUACAUGGAUAACUA
Nelumbo nucifera (sacred lotus) is the source of this 2797-nucleotide RNA transcript. It is a transcript of the gene named putative apyrase 7, with no coding region annotated. Lineage: Eukaryota; Viridiplantae; Streptophyta; Magnoliopsida; Proteales; Nelumbonaceae. The record is from RefSeq and is a predicted model, not a curated record.